This is a non-coding RNA of Callithrix jacchus (white-tufted-ear marmoset), 8755 nucleotides long. NCBI's taxonomy places the organism in Eukaryota, Metazoa, Chordata, Mammalia, Primates, Cebidae. The record is from RefSeq and is a predicted model, not a curated record.
UUUGUUAAGGAGUCUGUGCAGUCCCUGCUUUGAGCUUUGGCCAUUCAAAGUGCUGCCUAGCAGCCCAAGGCUUGGGCAAACAGUAUCCACACCCCUGAGUGUCUCCUAGCAUGCGUGACUGUCAUGCUGACUGUGGCAACACCGGUUCUACCUGUUCCACACCCUGUGUCUGUGGCGCUGAGGUGCCUUCUCUCCCACAUGGCCUCCUAAUGCCCUGCUCUGUUCUGUGACAGACUCCAAAGACCAGCUGCUUCUGUACAGCCAUCUGCCGAUGAUAGUGUGUUACCUGGCAGUGUCCCUUGCCCUGGUGCCAGUCUCACUAGGAUGGUGGCACCUCAGGUUCAUGCCUCCUCCUCCUCUGACCACUGCCCUCCUGUACCUACUAUGGAUUCUCUUCUCCUUUCACAGGUAGCUUGUUCACUAGGGCCAAGUGCCCUUCCUGGGGACCGGGUUGGGGGAAGGCUGAGACUGGGCUUUUCCUUGAGGUCUGGGAAGAGGGAACAUUGUUCGAAUGAGCUUGGGAGCUCGGCUCUACCCGUUGUGGGUGAGUCUUACAGAAACUGGAUGACCAUCUCAUAUGUUUCUUCCUAUACAGAAUUAUGAGGCUGGCCCCAAUCUCAUGGAUGGAAGCAAGUGGGUGUCUCCUAUGGGGGCAGCAGUCUCUAGGCCGAGGGAGUCAGGGAGGCCACUGUGCAAGACCUUCUUUCCCACCGGGCCACCCCCAUGUCUCUGCCCUUAGGACCUUCUCAUUGACCAAGAGCCUGCGACAACUCUCCCAAUAGCUCGGUGGUGUUGCUUCUGAGAUACUUCAGAAAUUGAGGGCAAGCGGGGAGUGUGGGAGGAAGGAAAGUAUGACAGAAACUGAGGCAAGGAUUCACGACAGAGAGGAAAGAUCUUGAGACUGGCUGAUUUGCUGGGCAAUUUUGAGGAAGCCGCUUCUUCCCUGAACCUUCUCCUUUGAAGCUGUUCACAUGAAGGAGCUGGAUCCCGUGACUGGUGACAUCAUUUUACCCUGCUGCAGCGGCUCCGGAUGAGAGCUGCUCGGGAGGGAGGGAUGGCGGGGAAAUAAGAACCAUAAGAGAAGCUGGCACAAAGAGGUUACAGGACAAAGGGUCCAAGUUAGGCAGAAAAGAAAACGUUGCCAGUUGCUGGGGAAGAAAGGGAGUCAGAGGGCUUAGACUGGGAGGGGACAGAGCAUCUUCACGUGCACUCUCCGCUCUUGUAGUCGGCUACAUGUUUCCAUCAAAAGGGUCCUGAAUCAUCUGCUACCAUGAAAGAUCUGGAGGUAAGGGGCCCUGGGCCACAGUGACUCUGCAGGCCAGCCCUCCAACUUCAUCCCGCAGCGGGGGGUUGGUGCCCCUCUGCCAGCUGAGACAGCUCAUUCCCCUCCCAACCCCAAUGAUUGCUCUCUACCCCUUCCACCCCUCCUCUCUGCAUGUGCCUCAGAGCUGAUGCCAAGAGGUAACAGUCACCCUGGAAUUGAGUUAUGUAACUAUCAAUCAAUUCACUAAAACCAUCAAGUCAUUGGUAAGAGUCCAGUGGGGUCCCUGAUUCCACACUCCAAGUCCUGGGCUCCAGUUUCCCUUUGGGGCCCUGAAGAAAGGGGUGGGGGGGUCCCUGGUGCCAAGGGCAAAUGGGGACCUGGGGGGCCUAGGCCUCAGCUGGAGGUACCCCGGAGCACAGAACAUGCAACAUGGCUCUUCCAUUGCUGCCCGCUUUGCCUACUGUCUCUUCUGCAGACACCUUUGCUCUAGUCCUUGCCACACACGCCCUGGGGUUGUUGCUUCUCCGGGAAAUGCUAGCCUGAUUGGUUGUCAGGAGCUCCAUACUUCCGCCCUGGCUCAGUCCCUAAUUGCCCUUUGAUUCUAGACAAGCCACUUCUCCUCCUUGUGCUUGCAUUUUCCAAGGAAGUAGAAUUAGAGAAUAUCAAAAGUCUCUGUUAGCUCUGAGAGUCCAUGAUUGAAAGGUCCAGUAAAAUGUAAACCUCAGGGCCAAGGGCUCCUGUCUGUCCUUUUGCGUCCUUUAUCCCUGCUGUGAAGCAGUGUACCUACCCAUAUGGACUCAGUCAGUGUUUGCUCAAUGAGUGCACCUUCUGAAAUCACAAGCUGGCAGAAGGGUGGGCUUUCCUCAGACUCUGUCUCUAAAGGCUUAUGUUACUGUCCUUUUGAGAGAAUCCAGAUUCAGACUUUCAGUUCGGUGGCUCUGAGCCAAACCCAACAAAGACCCAAAUCCUCUGUCCUUGGGAGCUUGAGGAGAGUUUACCAGUUGGUGUUCCCAUUGGUUUUGAGUUUUUGCCUUUAAAAUCCAUUCCUGGCCCCUUAAUUUGACUCUCCCCAUUGAACCAACAGAAGAAACAAAUUGAAGAACAGCCGGAAGAAGUAACUGAUUUUUCUUUGUUUGCUCAGGACAUGACGGCAGGGUUUUGGGGCAACUCAGACCUAGAGGCACCAGUCUUGUCCUGCUCAUUCCCAGCCUGGGGAAGAAGGGUCACCCUGCAGAUUCCACCCCAUCCCCACAGGGUCCCUGAUAACCUGGUCCCAUGGGUGGGCCUGUCCUGGGCAUUGGUGGCAUUCCGGGGGCAUGUCCCUUGCUGUGCCAUCUCUGCCUCGCCCUAGUAAGACCUCUGUCUUCCUCUUCUACAGGAAAAGCAAGAAAGCCAGCAAAACCGGGGAGCCCUAAGGAGGCAGUUAGAGGAGAGUCCAAGGAUCUGGCCAGGCGCCUGCAGUAUUCCUUGCAGUGUAUGGGAGAGUUGGAGCAGGCUCUCUGCUGUCUCAUGCAGCAGAAGAAGGCAGACAGGCAGGGUUGUCUGAGAUGGAGCAACACCCAGGAGCAGAGGCUGAUCACCUGCGGAAGGAGCUGGAGAAUGUGGCAGGUGUAAAACCAGAUGAAAGAAAAUGAGGGCUUGAGUCACCUGAGUCAAUCACCAAAGCAGUCCGUUCUGUUCCUGUUCAUUCCUUUGUCUACUGCCUCUCGCCAUAACAACAGCAGUAAGGAGCUGAAGCAGGAGAACUCAGCUUUGGCAGAGCAGCUUUGAGUUGUACUGACUGACAAGGCAGGGAUGCAGCGUGACUUGGAGGAGCUGAAAAGAAACUAGAAAUUGAAGAUCUUACAGUUCAGCUGGCGUGAAGCCCCUGAUGCUAACCAGCAGUUACAGCAGGCCAUGGAGGAGCGGGCACAGCUGGAAGCACAUCCGGGCAGGUGAUGGAGUCACUUAACAACUAUGGAUGAAGAAAGAUCAACAGGCUGGAAAUCUGAAAGGGGAGCAUGCCAUGUGGUGGCAGAGGAUGUGGAAGAUGUCAGCAGAUGAGACCUGCCUCUAGAGCUCCUGCCUUAGAGAGGUCUCUUGAUUGUUUUGGGCAUCUGUGACAUGGGAGGAGCACAGCCAGAAGUGGUCAUGGGUCUGGGCUUUGUGGAGGUGGGAGCAGAGAGGGAGAUGGAAGCCUGUCCAUCCACCAGCUCCUCUCUCCGAGGCCCUUUCCCCCUGUAUUUCAGGAAGGUGUACACAGUGAAGAAGAGGGUGCAGAGCAAGAGUUGGGUACAGCAGCUGGUGACAAGCUUGGCCGAACUAAGGAAGUGGAUAAGCUGGGGUGGGGUGACCUGGGAGCAGGACUGGCAUCAGAGGGCUGUGGGGGUGGCUUACGAUGUCCCAAGGAGGCGGGUAUGUGGAAAGACUUCGAGGCAGUGGGAAAGAGGUCUGUGCCAAAGAUCAUUAAGUCUUGUAAUCUCCACGAGCCUCAAUGUCCCCAUCAGCAAAGAGGGAGGAGUGCCCAUGCCCAGCUACCCACAGUCGUCUCUCUCUGAAAGUGGCUUGGAAGAUUGGCUACCACCCAACUAUGAGGAAUCAUUUGCAGGGAGGCCAAGUUUGCAGAGCCUGAGAGGAGCUGUGGACCAAGAGGAGGUUGUUUUUUUUGUUUGUUUGUUUGUCUUAGAAUUCAGAGGCCAUUAUUGUCUGCUUUCUUUUUCAACUAAAUCCCCGCCCCCAGAACCCUCAGCAGGGCCGUUCCAGAAUAAGUAUCAGAUACAAGCAGAGGCUGGGCGUCUGUGAAAGGAGCUGGAGAAUCUGGCAGGACAGCUCUAAGCCUGUGUGCCAAAAAAAUGAGGGCUUGAGUCACCUGGACUGGGAGUAGGAAGAGAGGCUGCGAGAGCAAGAGGAGAGGCUGCUGGAGCUGGGGCAGAAGGCCAAGCUCUGAGAGGAGCAGGCAGAGGUGCUCAGGCAAACUGUGCAGAACGACCGUACCACCAUCAGCCAUGCUCUCCCAGAACCAUGAGCUGAAGGAGCAGCUAGGAGAUGGACUGGAGAGUGAGGAGGAGGAGGAAGAGGAGCCUUGGUCUAUGCUGAGCAUCCCAGAGGACCUGGAGAGCUGGGAGGCCAUGGAGAGCACAUCAUACUUUACAAGAGCCAGAGGGCAGUGCUGAAGAUGUGGCACCAGCAGGAGGAGUACAUUAACGGGAUUAUCCAGGAUAAGAAGGAAAUGAAAGAUGAGGGCGAAGCUGCUGGAGCCACUGAUGCUGCAACUUGUGAGUGGCAAGGCAAAUCCCUGGUCGCUGUUUAUAACCCUGCUGAUGAGUCCACUCUGAGGUCCCCAGCUCCCCAGGAGCGUGGGGCUGCCACCAAGCAGGGUGGUGAGUAGAGCUCUUUGCUGGCGGGAUGAGGAGAGGACUCACACGGCACUCAGAGCCCUGCCUCCCUCUCUCCAAAGAUCUCCCACAGCAUGGAGCCUGAAUGAGAGAAGGCCAGGGAGGGUUCUCCCCACAGCAGCUUCACUGCAUAGAAGAUCAAGCAGCUGUUUCAUGAGAUGCAGAGCCCUCAGUAACACCCAAGCUUGGACAGCAGCCCCUGCAUCCCCAUUUUUUACCGGGCUCAGGAGAACAAGGAGUUGAAGAUGACCAUCAUCUAAAAGCCUGCCACUGUCAGCAAAGCCUGAAGAUGUGAGAGCAGAGGCUCUGCCCCCACCAUGUCCCUGCCACCCCUUCCCAGUCAUCCCUUUACCCUUACAGUAGCAAAAUAAGACCCCUGUCUAAUGUGGGAGGCAGGUGCAGAUGAGGUGAAGAUCACAUCUAAAGCAGGCCACUAAAUUAAAAAAAAAAAGUUAUGGGAUUAAAGAAGUUAUGAAAAAAGGGAAAAAUGUUAUGAAAAAAAUUAUGAAAAAUGUUAGUUAUGGAACAGUUAUGGGAUAAAAAAGUCAUGGGAUAAAAAUUUAAGAAAUAAUAAUAAAAGCAGGCCACUGUCAGCAAAGCCUGGAGAAGUGGAGCUGGAGGCUCUGCCCCCACCGUGUCCCUACCACCCCUUCCCAGUCACCGCUUUACCUCCAUAGUAGCAAGACAAGACCCCUGUCUAAUGGGGUGAGGCAGGCAAGUGCAAACCCUUUGCCACCUUGGCCAGGGAAGAGUCCCUCAAUUUCUGGAUGAUUAUUGUUAUUUAAGAGCCAGAGUUGAUUUCUUUUGAGGAAGCCUCAUGUCCUCUCUGAUGGCCUUACUCUCAUUCAAAGCAAUUUUUCCCUCAUGGGGGCUCCCAUCUUGCUCAGAGAGGCAGCUGAGGCAGGACAAUGGAGCUAAUGUAGACAAGGUGACGGCACGGGCUGCUGGGGUAACCUCCCCCAGUGUACAUAUUGGAUCUGUGUAAUAUUUUGUCUAUUCCGGGGGUAGGGCCACCCCCUCUAUCAUACAUAGUGGAGGUUGGAGUUGGCACAUAGGGAGGAGGAUCUAACAAUUAUUUGUGGCUGGGAAACUUAUUUGAUAGCUUACGACAGAGGAAGGAGACAGGGACGGGGUUGUGGCUCCCUGGUGAUGCGACUCCUACUUAUUUUCCUUUUAAUUUUGGAAUAAAUGGAUUUUAGCCACACUGCUUGGCCUGGGGUGUUCCUGUUUCCCUCGCUGGGUUCUGGAGUUUAUGCCACUGAACAGAGAGCCCCAGUGUGUCUGAACAUGUCCAGCUGUGCUGUUGGGGACCUUCCAGGCCUAUUACCUCUAUGAUGCCUGGUGACACCUGGGGGAUUCCAUGGGGACUGCUCUGGAGCCCGUGGGAACAGUCUGGCCCUGACAGCCAAAGGUUCAGAAGGCUGAUUUAGUGGUGGCCACAAAGGCAGGGUCCCAGCAUUCAACAGCACUGUUUUCCAUCCAGCUCAGGCAUCUUCCGUUCUGUCUUCCUGCCUCCCUUGCCUGUCUGUGCCCCGUGGCCUGUUCUGUCUGUGCCCCCAGAGUGCCGGCUGCCCCACAGGCUUCCUCCAGGCUGAGUUCAUGGCCCUGUGUGCUAGUGGCCAGAGCCGGCUUCGCAGGAUGAGAGCCAGCUAAGCUUCAGGGGAGUUUCCAGGAAAAGUGUUCCUUGGAAAGGAUGUGGCCCUUUCACUGCUCCAAACAGUACCCUAGUAAUGGCUUGGCUUUUCCCUUCCCUUGAACUCCACAGAGAACACAGCUGGCAGAGGACACAUUCCCCGUCAUCCAGAAUGGGUUUGAUUCUCAGCCGAGGGACAGCAGGACUGGUAGAGACUGUCAGGCCACACGGCUGCCUGCAUAGCACCCCCGUGCUUGGCGGGGGGCUGAAGGGAUGGCGGAGACUGGCUCUUCACAGGCUGGGCAUGACAAAGAGGCUCAAUGGAGGUGGCACACUUUGAAGGGGCAACGUUCCUGUUGGCUACUGAACUCUUACUUGGGCAAUAGGUUGAAUGCCAAAAUGAGGAACCAUGGAUCUUCUUCGCCUUGGUGUGAUAUUCUUGGCUUCUUGCCAAAGGUUACCUUACUUUUGGUUUUGAUAAGGGAAGAGGGGACAAACAUGAAGGCACUUGUUGACUAAAAGGAAGUCUAACAAAAUGCUUCAGCAUUGAAAUGGAAAGAGAAAUGGAAAAGCUAGAAAAUAAACCUGUAAACAGACUUUUUCUCCUGUACUUCAUAGAAGCUCAGGAGAAAAAGUCCCCUCUUUCCAUACGGCCCACAGAUGCCAACAGUGGGAGAGGGUGGCAUGUUUGAAAAGGCAGAAUAAGAGCCUAUCCACAAGCCAGGGAGAUUUGGAAGUGACAUCAGCUACUCCUCUCCAGAUAGAGGGGAAAGGACAGAUCCUUAGAAACCCUAGAACUCAGUCUUUGUUACUGGAUUCUCUUGAGCAGCAGCUUGGAAAGACAACGAGGGGAAGAUUUUUAAUUUCACUUUCUAUGAAUUAUGCAGCCUUUGGCUGAGAUAAGCCAAGAGCCUCUCAGCAGGACUGAGAGUUUAUUUGGGCAGGAGAGAUUAUGUGCAGAUCAAGGAACCUAAGAAGAGCCUGCUCUGAAGAAUGCUGGCAGCAUCACAAAGGGGUGGAGUAGGAGCUGGAAUACAACACCCAGACUCCAGAGACUCUAGGGCACACCUUGGGAGAAGUUCCAAAUGUGGGCCCUAGUGAUGCCAUCUGCAGCAGAGAGAGCAAGUUCCAGAGAAGAUGGGAUGAGGAGCCAUAAUUUGAUGGUGAAAUGUCUUAUAUAUCAAAUCUUGGUAAUUGUACACAACUCUGCGUGUUUUGUGUUGUGUAAUUCCAUUAAUACAUGUUAUUUCAGGAAAAGUGGAUAAAAUCUAAUCAUCUCUCCCACAAUAUGUGUAUACAAGUGAGUGAGGAUGCCGCAGCUGCCUACCUGGCAAUCCUAAAAUAUCCAACUAACACUCAGGGGAGCCAUAAACUUUAAGGGUCUAAAUCAGCCACUACUCUUGUCACUGGGUUCCCUGGCCCAAGUAUAGUCUCAACCAAUCCGGCAGCCAUGGACCCAAAUUUGGGGUGAUCACAAUCAGUCUUUCUCUACCGUAUCCACAGAAUGCCCUGCCCACCCCAGCCUUGCACCCGACUACAGCCCAACUUACAAGUGCAUUAUCAUUGUCCCUGCCCUUAGGAGAGCAUCACAUAAUUCACAAGCAGGGGACUGAAGAGCAGGGAGUUGGUUUCAUUCAUCUUCUUUCUCUUUAUAUCUAGCCUAGUACAUGGUAUGGUCAGGCUCUGAACAUUUAUUUUUUAAGGAAUAAAAGAGGAAGGGGAGAAGAAGGAGACAGUUGGAAGACAGAGAAUUUAUGCUUGUGUGUAAACAUGAAAAGGAGAAUACUGCAAGAUGACUCUCAAAGAAAGAUCAUGUGGCUUUUUCCUCUUCAUUCUAUUAAUUCGGUUUAUUACAUUAUGACAUUGAUUGAUUUUUGUAUGUCAAACCACUCUUGCAUUGCUGGAAUAAAUCUCUAUAUCCUGUUAUGCUUUACUGUUCCAUCUUUUAUUUAUUUAUUCAUUUCCUGCUAAAUGUGUACAUGUUACCUCUGCAUUUGUCUCUCUUUUAUUGCUUGCAUGUUUUGCUAAUUUUCCUAAAUAAGCACAGUAUAUUUCACUGUCAAAGGCAGACUAGAACCAACUCAGCAAUAGAUGGCAGAAGGACUCAAAGAAAAGGGCAGUAGUUAACCAGUUACAGAGGCAGAACACACCGGCCUAAGUCAAGAUGAGGUUGAAAUGUCUAUUUGUUCCAUGCCCCAAAAUUUGUGGAUCAAGAGUGCUGACCUCCCUGGAAUCUUGUAAGAUUCUGCCCUAGAGAAUAGACAAAAGAGCUGCCAUCCUUAGGGUCUUGAUAUGAACUACUGAGAGGCUCCUUAACCAAUGGGAACAUGUCUCUGUAACAGCGUUUUGGGAAUUUAAGGAGCAUCAGGGAAACCUCACUUUGUUAAAGAGAUAAACCAAACCCUGCUAAUAAUGCAUUUGAGUAUACCAUUGGAGCUUCAUUUCCUUAGGUGAAGUGCCUGGACCUUCUUAAAUGUUAAACAC